GCCUGAAGCAGAGCCGUGAAUGGACUGAAGAUGAGGUAUGUUUUGGUAUUAUCGUACAAUCGUACAGACUUGUAAUAUAUUUAAUGAUGAUUCCCUUUUUUUCCGUCUGCGGUUUCCAACAGAUGGCUUCGGUCAAUGAUGGCUAGGAAUGUCUGAUUACAGUUGAUAUGAAUGCUAAGGCUGUGAAUUUAUAAGUGUUCUAAUAGGCUUUUUUUUUCUUUCUAGGUUGUUCAAAGUAAAUUAUGAAGCAAACUGGCAGAAAUUGAUGACUGCUUGAAUAAGGAGUCGAUACUGGCAAAAGAACAUCUUGAGGCUAAGACUCUGUGGGCAUUUAUUGGCAAGAUUUAAGAUGAUCUGUGACUGAAAGAUGGUUUUCUUCACUGUAGCAUUCCAGAUUUUUUUUCUCUACUGACCUGGAAGGAAUGGUAAGUUCAUUUGCUUUAUUUGUGUAAAGAUUAAAUUUAGGGUUUGAGUUCUGACUUAUAAAAGUUACCAGUAAUUAGAUUAUUUGUGCAGUAAAAUAUACAUAGAAAGGGUUGAAAGAAACCUUAUUUUUUAAUUUUAUUAUUAUUAUUUUUUCUUAACCCCAUGUCCUUUUUUUAUGUAUAUUAUCUUGAUUAAUUUCAUUAAGUGACAAUUAUUUUAUUGGUUUCGUCAGAUUUUUUUUUCUUUGAAUUAAUGAAUUGAUAACUUGACACCUAUAAACUGUUGCUUACUCGGUUACGUGAAAUGAUUUCCAUUAUAUUUCAUUUUUUGGAAGAGUGAGCAAAGAGUAAGGUUUGCUGAAGCGGCAAUUUGUCUCUAUGGCUUGCUUGUCGUCUUGCAACCAACAAGGUCCUGGAAAUAGGACUUGUAUUACCAAGUCCUUGCUUGCAUAAAUAAUAAAUAACCAGAGUUUUCUUCUUCAGGUGUGGAGGAAGGGACUCCUUUGCUAAGUGUAUGGCAGAUGGAAGUGAUUAAUAGACUGGACUGCUAUAGGGUACUGAGUUAGAUUGAUGGCUUCUUCCAUGACCAGGAAAAAUGCAAGUAUGUGGAGCAAAAAGGAGGCCCUAUAGCUGGAGUUUCCCAACCCCUCUCCUCAUCCCUCAGGGCAGAGCACCAAAUGAGGGACUGUCAGGACGGAUGCCCCUUUUUGGUACAUGCCACAUUUUGCAAAUCUUUUUUUUUGUUUGUUUGUUUGUUGCAGUAAACCUCCUGCAAUGGACGUGUCUUGGUGUGUAGACCUGUAAUAAAAGUAUCGUGUGGUUCUGCAUGAUAUUAUUAUUCCAAGGUGUGCCUGCUGCUUUUUUGUCAAUAAAACCUUGUGUGUUA
Molecule: long non-coding RNA, 1311 nt
Organism: Penaeus indicus
Lineage: Eukaryota; Metazoa; Arthropoda; Malacostraca; Decapoda; Penaeidae
Exons: 4
Source: RefSeq, a predicted model, not a curated record